Long non-coding RNA from Neltuma alba, 172 nucleotides. RefSeq lists it as uncharacterized. The transcript has 3 exons. NCBI's taxonomy places the organism in Eukaryota, Viridiplantae, Streptophyta, Magnoliopsida, Fabales, Fabaceae. The record is from RefSeq and is a predicted model, not a curated record.
UGGAAUCUGCAGCUACCCAUGAAUGGAUGGGUUCUGGAUUGGCUGGAGGAUCCCCGUUGAAACAGUCCUCGUGAAGGACGAAGUGACAAUUCUUUGAACAUUGGUACCUGGGGCCAAACCCUAGUUCUUUGCAUCCGCUGCACUCAAAUGGGUUUGCUUUGUGACGUUUCAA